CCCGCGCCCCUACCAGGCGGAGCAGGCAGCCCCACAGCAGGGCGGCCGCGGGCCCGGGCGGCCUCGGCCGCGCCCCCAUGGGCUGUGGGUCGGGUGGGCGCGGGACUGCGCGCGGUGCUCGGCUCGAUCUGCCCGGGGCUCGGCGGCGCUGCUCGGUGGCCGGCACGGCGCGACUUCCUCUUCCGGCCCCGCCCUGGGCGCGGGAAACCCCGCGUGGGCUGGGCGCCCACAGGCGGCGACGGGAUGGGGCGGCCCAGGGACCUGGCCACGGGCGUCGGGCCCCUCCCGCGGCCCAGCACCGCUGCGCGCUCAGGGCUAGACCGGCUCCCCGCGAGGGACUGCGAACGCAGGUGACAAAGACAAAAAUUAAAGCCAGGAAACAGUUUGCUCUGCUGAAGCACAAGCUUGUGGAUCAGACCACGUCCCUGCACCGUUUGGGGCCGAAUCCGAACUGUCCCGGGCUUCCUGGGCCCCGACAGCGCGAGGUCGCGGUCCCCGCACUUCCCACGCUCCAGCCUGACGCAGCCCGCUCGCUUAGGCCAGGACGUGGUUUAAUUCUUGCAUAGCACUUUGCACUCACUGUGUUGUAUUCUCUUGCUGAUCCGUCUGUCCAUUUAUUUUGUUUUGUUUUGAGACAGGGUCUCCCUAUGUAGUUCAGGCUGGCCCUGAACUCACUGUGUAGCCCAGGCUGGCCUGGAACUCCUGGAGACCCUCCUGCCUCAGCCUCGUAUUAAUUAUGACGCUGCCUCCCACUUGCUAGAAUGGGUGCCGUGUUUGCUUGGUGUCCCCAACACCUGCAACACGGGGCAGUGUUCAGUCCUCACGUGCGUGUGAGAGGGACAGUGUCCUUGCCACCCCACCGCUCCAGGGAGGCACACACCGCCUAGGCUGAAUUGUGACUCUAGGAUGCUAUGGAAGGGACAAAGUGUGUGUGGGGGGGCUAAGUGGGGUGCCCAGAAAAUGCCAGCCUGAACGGAGUCUUGAAGGGGAGCUAAUUUCAGCAGAGGGCUGAGUGUCCAAGCCAACGGUGGCCCUGGAGAAGCCACCAAACUCGUGCUGGGCUGAAGGUCCCAGAGGUGACAGGUGAAGUUAGAGGAGAGGCGGAGGCCAAAUCCCAGAUCCUCGGGCCCGCUGGGCCUGCGGCCUCCGAGCCGUGCAGGGUGGCGGCGGGGUCCUCGUAAACCUGUCACGACUCGCACCAGGCGGAAAGUCACUCGCAGAUGGAAAGAAAAAAGGAGGGGGAUAGAAAGAGAAGAAGAAAGCAGGAGGCUCCGUCUGUCCUAAUUCUUCUUCCACGACGCUUUCUCCUUGGUCAAAGUCCCUAUGCAGGAGGAAGGAAAGCAAAGCGAAAGGGAAAAGACGCUUGCUGGUUUGGCCUGGUGAGGUGGUGUAUGCCUGAGAUCCCGGCACGUCGAGCCUUGUUUCACACACACCCCCCAUCUCGUUUAAUGACUUGAUUUCUGGAGAGGCUGCCAAGAGCUCGUUUGGAUAUACUUUUGUACCUUCGGGGAUUACAUGGGUUGAAGGGUGCCUGGGUAUCUCUUAGAAAGUAUUUUUCUUCUCUGCAGAAACUAUAUAUAAAGCCUAAUUGUAGAAACUCAUGCUACAUUGCAGAUCCAUUUGAUUUGUAAAUAUAUUUAGUUUUUUUUCCCAAUGAUUAAAGAGCCUUAUUUCUUGUCAGACUUCUUUUUUUUUUUUUUUUUUUGAGACAAGGUCUCACUAUGUAGUUCAGGCUGGCCUUGAACUCACAGUGAUCCUCCUGCCUCAGCCUUCCAUGAAUCCCCCUCAAAAUCCUCCCCCUUGCCUUGAACACAUUUAUCCCAUGUUCUGGUCACUUUCUGCCCCUGCUCUGGAGUCCUCUUUUCUGAGUGAUCAAAAAUACAGUGAGUGCUGCUGUUGAGUGCCAUCUAAGGGAAAGGCAGCUCCUAAAAACACGACGCUGCGUCCUCAUCCAUGGUCUGGCACCACCGUGUGAUUUCUGACUCAUCCCCAAAGUCAAAAUGCCUGUGAAAGUUCAAAGUUUUGAACAGAUUCGGGACAUCGAGGCAGCCACAACCACACAACUCAGGGCUCCGGCUGCUGUGCCAUCUGCCACAAGGUCCUCCUCCGGGCUGAGCUGACCUACACACCUGUGAGCUAAGUAAAUUCCUUUAUAAAGUCACCUGGCAGGGUGUGGUGGUGCACAGCAGUAAUCCCAGCACUCGGGAGGUUGAGGCAGGAGGAUCGCCUUGAGUUCCAGGCCAG
Molecule: long non-coding RNA, 2244 nt
Filed under: Heterocephalus glaber (naked mole-rat)
Lineage: Eukaryota; Metazoa; Chordata; Mammalia; Rodentia; Bathyergidae
Description: lncRNA (ENSHGLG00100051985.1)
Source: RNAcentral